CCCCACCGCCGAAGCCGCCGCCGCCGCCACCAGAACCCACCCCACAGGUCAUGUGACCACAGGGUAUAAAUACAAGCUGGAGCGCCGACACGUCCCGACUCUGGUCAAGUGUGUGAGGAGGCCUUAAUACGACGUCCUUCGCCCAAACAAACAGCCAAUAUGCGCGAGUGCAUUUCCAUCCACGUGGGGCAGGCGGGCGUGCAGAUGGGCAACGCCUGCUGGGAGCUCUAUUGCCUCGAGCAUGGCAUCCAGCCCGACGGCACCAUGCCCUCCGACAAGUACGUGGGCGGCAGCGACGACUCCUUCAACACCUUCUUCAGCGAGACCGGGUCGGGGAAGCACGUGCCCCGAGCUGUCUUCGUUGAUCUCGAACCUUCGGUGGUCGAUGAGGUCCGCAUCGGCGUGUACCGGUACCUGUUCCAUCCCGAACAGCUGAUCACAGGGAAGGAGGACGCGGCCAACAAUUACGCCCGAGGUCACUACACCAUCGGGAAGGAGAUUGUUGACCUCGUCUUGGAUCGGGUCAGGAAGCUGGCGGAUCAGUGUACCGGCCUUCAGGGAUUCCUCAUCUUCCACUCCUUCGGCGGCGGCACGGGCUCUGGCUUCACCUCCCUGCUGAUGGAAAGGCUCUCAGUCGACUACGGAAAGAAGAGCAAACUCGAAUUCGCUAUCUAUCCGGCGCCACAGGUGGCCACGGCCGUCGUGGAGCCCUACAACUCCAUCCUGACGACGCACACGACGCUCGAGCACUCCGACUGCGCCUUCAUGGUGGACAACGAGGCCAUCUACGACAUCUGCCGCCGCAACCUGGACAUCGAGCGCCCGACCUACACCAACCUCAACCGCCUCAUCGGCCAGAUCGUGUCGUCCAUCACGGCGUCGCUUCGCUUCGACGGCGCCCUCAACGUCGACCUGACGGAGUUCCAGACCAACCUGGUGCCGUACCCGCGCAUCCACUUCCCGCUGGUGACGUACGCGCCGGUCAUCUCGGCCGAGAAGGCGUACCACGAGCAGCUGUCGGUGGCGGAGAUCACGAACGCGUGCUUCGAGCCGGCCAACCAGAUGGUCAAGUGCGACCCGCGCCACGGCAAGUACAUGGCCUGCUGCCUGCUCUUCCGCGGCGACGUCGUGCCCAAGGACGUCAACGCCGCCAUCGCCUCCAUCAAGACCAAGCGCACCAUCCAGUUCGUGGACUGGUGCCCCACGGGCUUCAAGGUGGGCAUCAACUACCAGCCGCCGACGGUCGUGCCCGGCGGCGACCUGGCCAAGGUGUCCCGCGCCGUGUGCAUGCUGUCCAACACCACCGCCAUCGCCGAGGCCUGGGCGCGCCUCGACCACAAGUUCGACCUGAUGUACGCCAAGCGCGCCUUCGUGCACUGGUACGUGGGCGAGGGCAUGGAGGAGGGCGAGUUCACGGAGGCGCGCGAGGACCUGGCGGCGCUCGAGAAGGACUACGAGGAGGUCGGGAUGGACUCCGCCGAGGAGGAGGGCGACGACAACGAGUAUUAGCGCCCCAGUGUGCUCCAGGUGGUAGAUUCGCACUCAGACCCACGUACACGCACGCACGCACACACAAACACACACACACACACACACACACACACACACACACACACACACACACACACACACACACACACACACACACACAC
Molecule: unclassified non-coding RNA, 1652 nt
Filed under: Penaeus japonicus
Lineage: Eukaryota; Metazoa; Arthropoda; Malacostraca; Decapoda; Penaeidae
Description: tubulin alpha-1 chain-like, transcript variant X1
Source: RNAcentral